GACGAACGCUGGCGGCGCGCCUAACACAUGCAAGUCGAACGGAGCUGAGAGAAGCUUGCUUUUCUUAGCUUAGUGGCGAACGGGUGAGUAACGCGUGAGUAACCUGCCCUGGAGUGGGGGACAACAGUUGGAAACGACUGCUAAUACCGCAUAAGCCCACGAUCCGGCAUCGGAUUGAGGGAAAAGGAUUUAUUCGCUUCAGGAUGGACUCGCGUCCAAUUAGCUAGUUGGUGAGGUAACGGCCCACCAAGGCGACGAUUGGUAGCCGGACUGAGAGGUUGAACGGCCACAUUGGGACUGAGACACGGCCCCGACUCCUACGGGAGGCAGCAGUGGGGGAUAUUGCACAAUGGGGGAAACCCUGAUGCAGCGACGCCGCGUGGAGGAAGAAGGUUUUCGGAUUGUAAACUCCUGUCGUUAGGGACGAUAAUGACGGUACCUAACAAGAAAGCACCGGCUAACUACGUG
RNAcentral lists this ribosomal RNA (468 nucleotides) under uncultured bacterium. Its description in RNAcentral is "partial 16S ribosomal RNA". It matches the Rfam family "Bacterial small subunit ribosomal RNA", at positions 28 to 507 of the family's 1533-position model. The record is from RNAcentral.